GGCGAACGGGUGAGUAACACGUGGGUAAUCUGCCCUGCACUCUGGGAUAAGCCUGGGAAACUGGGUCUAAUACUGGAUAUGACCUUUCUCCUUAUGGGGUUUGGUGGAAAGUUUUUCGGUGUAGGAUGAGCCCGCGGCCUAUCAGCUUGUUGGUGGGGUGAUGGCCUACCAAGGCGACGACGGGUAGCCGGCCUGAGAGGGUGAUCGGCCACAUUGGGACUGAGAUACGGCCCAA
This 235-nucleotide ribosomal RNA is filed under the name uncultured Actinomycetales bacterium. RNAcentral describes it as "partial 16S ribosomal RNA". It matches the Rfam family "Bacterial small subunit ribosomal RNA", at positions 97 to 334 of the family's 1533-position model. The record is from RNAcentral. Lineage: Bacteria; Bacillati; Actinomycetota; Actinomycetes; Actinomycetales.